Molecule: ribosomal RNA, 498 nt
Filed under: uncultured bacterium
Lineage: Bacteria
Description: partial 16S ribosomal RNA
Rfam family: Bacterial small subunit ribosomal RNA
Source: RNAcentral
GACGAACGCUGGCGGCGUGCCUAAUACAUGCAAGUCGAGCGGACGAAUCGAAAGCUUGCUUUUGAUUCGUUAGCGGCGGACGGGUGAGUAACACGUGGGCAACCUGCCCUGUAGACGGGGAUAACACCGAGAAAUCGGUGCUAAUACCGGAUAACACGAAAUGUCGCAUGACGUUUCGUUGAAAGACGGCGCAAGCUGCCGCUACAGGAUGGGCCCGCGGCGCAUUAGCUAGUUGGUGAGGUAACGGCUCACCAAGGCGACGAUACGUAGCCGACCUGAGAGGGUGAUCGGCCACACUGGGACUGAGACACGGCCCAGACUCCUACGGGAGGCAGCAGUAGGGAAUCUUCCGCAAUGGACGAAAGUCUGACGGAGCAACGCCGCGUGAGCGAAGAAGGCCUUCGGGUCGUAAAGCUCUGUUGUUAGGGAAGAACAAGUAACGCAGUAACUGACGUUACCGUGACGGUACCUAACGAGAAAGCCACGGCUAACUACGUG